Molecule: transfer RNA, 77 nt
Filed under: Candidatus Methanoplasma porotermitis
Lineage: Archaea; Methanobacteriati; Thermoplasmatota; Thermoplasmata; Methanomassiliicoccales; Methanomassiliicoccaceae
Description: tRNA-Arg
Source: RNAcentral
GCCCGUGUGGGGUAGCCUGGAUAUCCUGAGAGGUUGCGGACCUCUUGACCUGGAUUCGAAUUCCAGCACGGGCGCCA